CCAACCCCUGUGACAUACCAAUUGUUGCCUCGGCGGAUCAGCCCGCUCCCGGUAAAACGGGACGGCCCGCCAGAGGACCCCUAAACUCUGUUUCUAUAUGUAACUUCUGAGUAAAACCAUAAAUAAAUCAAAACUUUCAACAACGGAUCUCUUGGUUCUGGCAUCGAUGAAGAACGCAGCAAAAUGCGAUAAGUAAUGUGAAUUGCAGAAUUCAGUGAAUCAUCGAAUCUUUGAACGCACAUUGCGCCCGCCAGUAUUCUGGCGGGCAUGCCUGUUCGAGCGUCAUUUCAACCCUCAAGCCCAGCUUGGUGUUGGGACUCGCGAGUUAAACCGCGUUCCCCAAAUUGAUUGGCGGUCACGUCGAGCUUCCAUAGCGUAGUAGUAAAACCCUCGUUACUGGUAAUCGUCGCGGCCACGCCGUUAAACCCCAACUUCUGAAUGUUGACCUCGGAUCAGGUAGGAAUACCCGCUGAACUUAAGCA
RNAcentral lists this ribosomal RNA (482 nucleotides) under Fusarium andiyazi. Its description in RNAcentral is "eukaryotic LSU rRNA". The stretch from base 132 to 285 matches the Rfam family "5.8S ribosomal RNA". The record is from RNAcentral. Lineage: Eukaryota; Fungi; Ascomycota; Sordariomycetes; Hypocreales; Nectriaceae.